Molecule: transfer RNA, 72 nt
Filed under: Smittium mucronatum
Lineage: Eukaryota; Fungi; Kickxellomycota; Harpellomycetes; Harpellales; Legeriomycetaceae
Rfam family: tRNA
About the family: Transfer RNA (tRNA) molecules are approximately 80 nucleotides in length.
Source: Rfam by way of RNAcentral
GAUCUUAUGGUCUAACUCUCAUGACGUUGGACUUUGAAUCCAGUAGCUUGAGUUCGGCUCUCUAUAAUACCU